UGUGUGUGUGUGUGUAUUUGUUCAACUGGUGGACAAAGGCAUGAAAGACAUGUACAAAAAUGACUCCUCUUUUGCAACUCAGAACUCAUUUUUCAGUAUGAGUUUUGAUACAUACAAGAAAGGUUAUG
Molecule: small nucleolar RNA, 128 nt
Filed under: Nannospalax galili (Upper Galilee mountains blind mole rat)
Lineage: Eukaryota; Metazoa; Chordata; Mammalia; Rodentia; Spalacidae
Description: Small nucleolar RNA SNORA40 (ENSNGAG00000003188.1)
Rfam family: Small nucleolar RNA SNORA40
About the family: The snoRNA ACA 40 belongs to the H/ACA family of snoRNAs and guides the pseudouridylation of 28S rRNA subunit at position U4565. NB This family has a high threshold value to exclude a large number of closely related sequences that do not appear to have conserved H and ACA boxes, and may be pseudogenes.
Source: Rfam by way of RNAcentral